This 466-nucleotide ribosomal RNA is filed under the name Bacillus subtilis. Its description in RNAcentral is "bacterial SSU rRNA". It matches the Rfam family "Bacterial small subunit ribosomal RNA", at positions 339 to 793 of the family's 1533-position model. Lineage: Bacteria; Bacillati; Bacillota; Bacilli; Caryophanales; Bacillaceae. The record is from RNAcentral.
CUACGGGGAAGCAGCAGUAGGGAAUCUUCCGCAAUGGACGAAAGUCUGACGGAGCAACGCCGCGUGAGUGAUGAAGGUUUUCGGAUCGUAAAGCUCUGUUGUUAGGGAAGAACAAGUACCGUUCGAAUAGGGCGGUACCUUGACGGUACCUAACCAGAAAGCCACGGCUAACUACGUGCCAGCAGCCGCGGUAAUACGUAGGUGGCAAGCGUUGUCCGGAAUUAUUGGGCGUAAAGGGCUCGCAGGCGGUUUCUUAAGUCUGAUGUGAAAGCCCCCGGCUCAACCGGGGAGGGUCAUUGGAAACUGGGGAACUUGAGUGCAGAAGAGGAGAGUGGAAUUCCACGUGUAGCGGUGAAAUGCGUAGAGAUGUGGAGGAACACCAGUGGCGAAGGCGACUCUCUGGUCUGUAACUGACGCUGAGGAGCGAAAGCGUGGGGAGCGAACAGGAUUAGAUACCCUGGGGUAG